Molecule: small nucleolar RNA, 135 nt
Organism: Hemicordylus capensis (graceful crag lizard)
Lineage: Eukaryota; Metazoa; Chordata; Lepidosauria; Squamata; Cordylidae
Source: RefSeq, a predicted model, not a curated record
UCCCUUCUCAAAAGCACUUGCUGGGUCUGUUUUCCCAUGGCCCAGGGAGUUGUCGUGGAAGGGUAAAGUAAAGGCACUGCUUUUGGGUGAGGUGACAGCUUGUGCUGUUGUGCCUCAAUCGGUGGUGCUACAGAU